Molecule: transfer RNA, 75 nt
Filed under: Mizugakiibacter sediminis
Lineage: Bacteria; Pseudomonadati; Pseudomonadota; Gammaproteobacteria; Lysobacterales; Rhodanobacteraceae
Also listed under: 2 other names
Description: tRNA-Lys
Rfam family: tRNA
About the family: Transfer RNA (tRNA) molecules are approximately 80 nucleotides in length. Their secondary structure includes four short double-helical elements and three loops (D, anti-codon, and T loops). Further hydrogen bonds mediate the characteristic L-shaped molecular structure. tRNAs have two regions of fundamental functional importance: the anti-codon, which is responsible for specific mRNA codon recognition, and the 3' end, to which the tRNAs corresponding amino acid is attached (by aminoacyl-tRNA synthetases). tRNAs cope with the degeneracy of the genetic code in two manners: having more than one tRNA (with a specific anti-codon) for a particular amino acid; and 'wobble' base-pairing, i.e. permitting non-standard base-pairing at the 3rd anti-codon position.
Source: RNAcentral
GGGCCGUUAGCUCAGCGGUAGAGCAGCGGACUUUUAAUCCGUUGGUCGAAGGUUCGAUCCCUUCACGGCCCACCA